Empidonax traillii (willow flycatcher) is the source of this 346-nucleotide long non-coding RNA. RefSeq lists it as uncharacterized. The record is from RefSeq and is a predicted model, not a curated record. The transcript has 3 exons. Lineage: Eukaryota; Metazoa; Chordata; Aves; Passeriformes; Tyrannidae.
AGAGACUAAUUCCUUAUUAAAGAAGAUGCAACGCUGCAAAUAUUCACAUAUGACUAGUUCCUCAGAGGGGAUGAAAUAGGAACAAGUUUUCAUCUUUGUCAUCAAAACAUCAAACGUGCUCCACUUCAGUCACUCUGUAACUGUGGUAGCCAAGGAAGGGUGUCUUUUUAACAAAAAAUAGCAAACAUUGGGUUUUUUUGUAUGAAGAUAUCAAAACCUGGAAUAAUUCAUUAAAGAGUGAACCUGUUGGCCUCAAAGUCUUGCCCAGAUCUGUGUUAAGAGUGAUUUCAGAACAACUGAUUGGCCCUGAAGUGUUCCAUUGUGUGGAGCAGUGAUUUCAAACGUG